AGGGUUUGAUUAUGGCUCAGGAUGAACGCUGGCGGCGUGCUUAACACAUGCAAGUCGAACGGGAUCCCUGGCAGCUUGCUGUCGGGGUGAGAGUGGCGAACGGGUGAGUAAUGCGUGACCAACCUGCCCUGUGCACCGGAAUAGCUCCUGGAAACGGGUGGUAAUACCGGAUGCUCCGCUCCAUCGCAUGGUGGGGUGGGAAAUGCUUUUGCGGCAUGGGAUGGGGUCGCGUCCUAUCAGCUUGUUGGCGGGGUGAUGGCCCACCAAGGCGUUGACGGGUAGCCGGCCUGAGAGGGUGACCGGCCACAUUGGGACUGAGAUACGGCCCAG
This 330-nucleotide ribosomal RNA is filed under the name uncultured bacterium. RNAcentral's name for it is "bacterial SSU rRNA". It matches the Rfam family "Bacterial small subunit ribosomal RNA", at positions 8 to 334 of the family's 1533-position model. The record is from RNAcentral.